This 549-nucleotide ribosomal RNA is filed under the name uncultured Glomus. RNAcentral describes it as "SSU rRNA". It matches the Rfam family "Eukaryotic small subunit ribosomal RNA", at positions 548 to 1098 of the family's 1831-position model. Lineage: Eukaryota; Fungi; Glomeromycota; Glomeromycetes; Glomerales; Glomeraceae. The record is from RNAcentral.
UUGGAGGGCAAGUCUGGUGCCAGCAGCCGCGGUAAUUCCAGCUCCAAUAGCGUAUAUUAAAGUUGUUGCAGUUAAAAAGCUCGUAGUUGAAUUUCGGGGUUAGUAGGUUGGUCAUGCCUCUGGUAUGUACUGGUCUCACUGAUUCCUCCUUCCUGAUGAACCGUAAUGCCAUUAAUUUGGUGUUGCGGGGAAUUUGGACUGUUACUUUGAAAAAAUUAGAGUGUUUAAAGCAAGCUAACGCUUGAAUACAUUAGCAUGGAAUAAUGAAAUAGGACGUUCGAUCCUAUUUUGUUGGUUUCUAGGAUUGACGUAAUGAUUAAUAGGGAUAGUUGGGGGCAUUAGUAUUCAAUUGUCAGAGGUGAAAUUCUUGGAUUUAUUGAAGACUAACUACUGCGAAAGCAUUUGCCAAGGAUGUGUUCAUUAAUCAAGAACGAAAGUUAGGGGAUCGAAGACGAUCAGAUACCGUCGUAGUCUUAACCAUAAACUAUGCCGACUAGGGAUCGGAUGAUGUUAAUUUUUUAAUGACUCAUUCGGCGCCUUACGGGAAAC